CCAACAGGGAUUGCCCCAGUAACGGCGAAGUGAAGCGGCAACAGCUCAAAUUUGAAAUCUGGCCCCUAGGGCCCGAGUUGUAAUUUGCAGAGGAUGCUUUUGGCGAGGUGCCUUCCGAGUUCCCUGGAACGGGACGCCAUAGAGGGUGAGAGCCCCGUCUGGUUGGAUGCCGAGCCUCUGUAAAGCUCCUUCGACGAGUCGAGUAGUUUGGGAAUGCUGCUCUAAAUGGGAGGUAUAUGUCUUCUAAAGCUAAAUACCGGCCAGAGACCGAUAGCGCACAAGUAGAGUGAUCGAAAGAUGAAAAGCACUUUGAAAAGAGGGUUAAAUAGUACGUGAAAUUGUUGAAAGGGAAGCACUUAUGACCAGACUUGGACCCGGUGAAUCAUCCAGCGUUCUCGCUGGUGCACUUUGCCGGGCUCAGGCCAGCAUCAGUUUGCCUCGGGGGAUAAAGGCUUUGGGAAUGUGGCUCCCUCGGGAGUGUUAUAGCCCAUUGCACAAUACCCUGGGGCGGACUGAGGUUCGCGCAUCUGCAAGGAUGCUGGCGUAAUGGUCAUCAGUGACCCGUCUUGAAACACGGACCAAGGAGUCGUCUUCGUAUGCGAGUGUUCGGGUGUAAAACCCCUACGCGUAAUGAAAGUGAACGCAGGUGAGAGCUUCGGCGCAUCAUCGACCGAUCCUGAUGUUCUCGGAUGGAUUUGAGUAAGAGCAUACGGGGCCGGACCCGAAAGAAGGUGAACUAUGCCUGUAUAGGGUGAAGCCAGAGGAAACUCUGGUGGAGGCUCGCAGCGGUUCUGACGUGCAAAUCGAUCGUC
This 812-nucleotide ribosomal RNA is filed under the name Pochonia chlamydosporia. RNAcentral describes it as "LSU rRNA". It matches the Rfam family "Eukaryotic large subunit ribosomal RNA", at positions 65 to 906 of the family's 3401-position model. The record is from RNAcentral. Lineage: Eukaryota; Fungi; Ascomycota; Sordariomycetes; Hypocreales; Clavicipitaceae.